CCCAAACCAGUACUCCACCUCCACCUUGCUGGCGUCUGAGUCGGACUGGAGCUCUCUGCCCUUUACCAAUCCAGCCACGGGCCCAUCCAUCUGGCCCAUCAAGACUCACUCUCAUUUCAUCAGUCCAUAAAACCUUAGAAAAUCAGUCUUGAGAUAUUUCUUGGCCCAGUCUUGACGUUUCAGCUUGUGUGUCUUGUUCAGUGGUGGUCGUCUUUCAGCCUUUCUUACCUUGGCCAUGUCUCUGAGUAUAGCACACCUUGUGCUUUUGGGCACUCCAGUGAUGUUGCAGCUCUGAAAUAUGGCCAAACUGGUGGCAAGUGGCAUCGUGGCAGCUGCACGCUUGACUUUUCUCAGUUCAUGGGCAGUUAUUUUGCGCCUUGGUUUUUCCACACGCUUCUUGCGACCCU
Non-coding RNA from Pelobates cultripes (western spadefoot toad), 407 nucleotides. NCBI's taxonomy places the organism in Eukaryota, Metazoa, Chordata, Amphibia, Anura, Pelobatidae. The record is from the annotation of a GenBank genome assembly.